This is a long non-coding RNA of Ricinus communis (castor bean), 371 nucleotides long. RefSeq lists it as uncharacterized. NCBI's taxonomy places the organism in Eukaryota, Viridiplantae, Streptophyta, Magnoliopsida, Malpighiales, Euphorbiaceae. The transcript is spliced from 2 exons. The record is from RefSeq and is a predicted model, not a curated record.
GCUAUAACAAACUAAAACAAAAGCAAAAUAUAACACAGUACAAAGAAACCCUACUUCUAUUUUCAUCUAAACCUCACAGCCUCCACCCUCUCAAGCCUCUUUGCAAUCACUAAAACUUGCUGCCGUCGCCGAUCUGUCAUCGCCGCCGCCCUUGCUGCCGUCGCCGAUCUGUCAUCGCCGCCGCCCUUGCUGCAGUCAUCGUCGCCGUCGCCGUCGCCCUUGCUGUAGUCGUCUCCGCCCUCGGAGCAGUCGGCUUCUCCUUCGCCGUUCAUCAGUUUUUAUUUCUUGCCAAUGCUAGCAACUCCCUUCUCUAAGUAAAUCGCAUCGUACCGGGCACUUCACCUCCAAUUUUCAGAUCAGGAAUAGUAAAA